CGACGUAGUCACCUCCUCGUUGGUGAGACCCGGUAAUUGGCAUCGAUUUCAAUAUAAAUUCAUUUGUUUAAAUACAUGAUAUUAGAAAGAUUUUAUGAAAAUUUUAUUACAUUAGAAAUAUUAGUUUUUGGAAAUCGAUGCCAAGCUAAGAACUACACUAAUUCUUUUUUGUUUGUUUCAGGAUCUUGUUACAUUGUAUUUUUUUCUUAUAAAUUUUUGACAUUUUACAAAUAUUUUCAAACAUUUAUAACACUUGAUACACUUUAUCAUUAUUUAUCAAUAUUCUAAAUUGUAAUAACGAACAAUUACAACAUAAUUCUUGUAAAUUGCAUUACAUUCCGAGUAAAAUAGUAUUUUCUUAAACAAAUGAUUUGUUAUAAAUGUUUGAUAAGAAAAAGAGAGAAGAUAUCGAAAGAAUAUUAUAUUUCUUUUUCUAUCCCUUCUUAAAAAUAUAUUUUAUACUUUCAGGAAAUUCUUUUAACCGCGCGCAAUGCGGUCAGUAGAGUCAGUGUUUGCUUUCGUAACAGUUUUUUUAAAUCCUUCAAUGGAUAACGCGAAAUUAGAUUCAGUGUUUGUUUUCGUAACAGUUUUUUUAAAUCCUUCAAUGGAUAACGCGAAAUUAGAUUCAGUGCUUCUCUCAAGAAAAUAAGGCGGUCAUCCAUCACGCGAAGAGAUAUUCCACACAAUGAUGACUUCCUUUUGUUCUUCGCAUCUAAUGGUGAGUCGCAUGCUUUUUGAUUCCUCUGGUCACUCAAUCAUGUCGUAGGACGAAAGGUCCGAAUCGACACGAGUGACUGGUUGUAUACGUAGAUUUUUGCACGAGCACAGUGACCACGGGUAUAUUUUAUUAUACCCGUGAGUAGUAACACAUUCAAUGUUUUAUUUAUAUUAGUGCAGGCUAGGUUUUCUUGCGCGUCGCGUUUUCGUUUAACAAAAAUCUUCCUUUAUUUUUCAUCUCAUAAAUAAAUUUUUAGUAAAUCACAGUUUUCAAUUUCAAUAUGAAA
Long non-coding RNA from Apis dorsata (giant honeybee), 1004 nucleotides. RefSeq lists it as uncharacterized. Lineage: Eukaryota; Metazoa; Arthropoda; Insecta; Hymenoptera; Apidae. The record is from RefSeq and is a predicted model, not a curated record. The transcript has 2 exons.